AUGCUCAAAACCAGAGUGCUCGGGUUUGCGGCAAUUGAGAGGGCUAGAAGACGGUAGGCUUCUCGGGUGCUAAGGAUUAGGGCUGGAGAUGCCAGCACAAAAUUCUUCCACACUAAGUACAAUAACAGAAGGAGAAAAAACUAUAUACAUUCUCUGCAAUCUGAAGGAGGGGAGGUCCUAACCCAGCAUCAGGAGAAGGCCCAAGAGAUCUUCAUGCAUUUUUCAAAUAAGUUGGGAUCGAGGAAAAACAGGCCCCUCACAAUCAACUGGGAUCAGUUGCAGCUGCCUCUUCUACCAGAAGUGGGGUUAGAUAACUCAUUCUCAGAGGGAGAGGUUUGGGCAGCCGUUAUGAAUUCUCCGGUUGAAAAAGCCCCAGGCCCCGAUGGAUACACCAGCCAAUUCUUUCGUUCGUGCUGGAGCAUCAUCAAGGACGACAUUAUGGCUGCUUUCUACAAGUUCUACAGGGCGAUCAACUGA
RNAcentral lists this ribosomal RNA (477 nucleotides) under Triticum aestivum (bread wheat). RNAcentral describes it as "partial small subunit ribosomal RNA". The record is from RNAcentral. Lineage: Eukaryota; Viridiplantae; Streptophyta; Magnoliopsida; Poales; Poaceae.